RNAcentral lists this ribosomal RNA (281 nucleotides) under unidentified actinomycete 7702B. RNAcentral describes it as "partial 16S ribosomal RNA". It matches the Rfam family "Bacterial small subunit ribosomal RNA", at positions 99 to 380 of the family's 1533-position model. Lineage: Bacteria; Bacillati; Actinomycetota; Actinomycetes; Actinomycetales. The record is from RNAcentral.
CGAACGGGUGAGUAACACUGUGAGUAACCUGCCCUUGGCUCUGGGAUAAGCCCGGGAAACUGGGUCUAAUACCGGAUAUGACCACUGAACGCAUGUUCGGGUGGUGGAAAGUUUUUCGGCUGGGGAUGGACUCGCGGUCUAUCAGCUUGUUGGUGGGGUGAUGGCCUACCAAGGCGACGACGGAUAGCCGGCCUGAGAGGGUGACCGGCCACACUGGGACUGAGACACGGCCCAGACUCCUACCGGAGGCAGCAGUGGGGAAUAUUGCGCAAUGGGCGGAA